This 513-nucleotide ribosomal RNA is filed under the name uncultured bacterium. RNAcentral's name for it is "partial 16S ribosomal RNA". It matches the Rfam family "Bacterial small subunit ribosomal RNA", at positions 1 to 486 of the family's 1533-position model. The record is from RNAcentral.
CGGCCGCACUAGUGAUUAGAGUUUGAUCCUGGCUCAGGAUGAACGCUGGCGGCGUGCCUAAUACAUGCAAGUCGAGCGAACAGAUAAGGAGCUUGCUCCUUUGAAGUUAGCGGCGGACGGGUGAGUAACACGUGGGUAACCUACCUAUAAGACUGGGAUAACUUCGGGAAACCGGGGCUAAUACCGGAUAACAUUUAGAACCGCAUGGUUCUAAAGUGAAAGAUGGUUUUGCUAUCACUUAUAGAUGGACCCGCGCCGUAUUAGCUAGUUGGUAAGGUAACGGCUUACCAAGGCGACGAUACGUAGCCGACCUGAGAGGGUGAUCGGCCACACUGGAACUGAGACACGGUCCAGACUCCUACGGGAGGCAGCAGUAGGGAAUCUUCCGCAAUGGGCGAAAGCCUGACGGAGCAACGCCGCGUGAGUGAUGAAGGGUUUCGGCUCGUAAAACUCUGUUAUUAGGGAAGAACAAAUGUGUAAGUAACUGUGCACAUCUUGACGGUACCUAAUCAG